UUGGAGACAUUACCUUAUUUAAUCAUUAAAUUAAUAGGUCAUGAGAAUAAAUGAUGUUUCUCUGCCUUCAAUGGCUCAAGAAGGCAAUCGGCUCCAGAAAAAAACCCUGGGGAAUUUGAAUUUGGGAGAAAUUGGCGAAAGAAAAUUGCGUUCACAACCAGGUAUUCCUCUGCAGAGCCUUAUCAAUGGGCUUUGGAGGGUUGUAGCUUGCGUUCACAGCUACAGGAAAUGUCUUUCGAAGAGUAAGGUCACUGAGUGGUGGGUGCUAUUUUGAUCUAGUGAUUGAAAUUAUUGUUUAUUCUUUAUGUAACCUCUUUCUAGAAAUCCCUCAAAUGAAAAGUGACCUCACCAUUAUUGCUCAAAAGACUGGAAGGACUCCUAUGGAGGAUCUAGAUUCCUCCUUCUCGACUUUUGGAGAAGUGCAACCGACUCCAGAGAGGAGACCGAGCCCAGAGGAGACCGAGCCCUUUAAAGAGAGUCCCAUGGUGACUGAGCGCUUUCGAGAGACACCACAGACUGCAGCAACAGCUGAGACCUCAGCGAAAACACAGAUUGAAGUUAAAAAGGUCUCUGGGGUGUUUUGCCAGGCAGAAGCGUGGAAAGCAGCCCGCCUUGCCACCUCUGCUACUGCCAUGGUGUGGAAUCUGCUGCUGGGCACCUUUUUGAUUUGGAGAAAAGCAACCUGAAUGGUGGGAAGCCAACCAGAGGGGAUGGGGAGCAGCUGUUCGCCCUUGACCAAAUUAAAAAGGCAGCCAUUAUUGCCACAUUUCUGGGGUAUUGCGCUGUAAGAUGCUACAUUGAAGAAGUGGCCGGCAGCCAGCCGAGGGCAGAUAGACACAUCUAUCAAUUCGAAGCUC
This is a long non-coding RNA of Perca fluviatilis (European perch), 857 nucleotides long. RefSeq lists it as uncharacterized. The record is from RefSeq and is a predicted model, not a curated record. Lineage: Eukaryota; Metazoa; Chordata; Actinopteri; Perciformes; Percidae. The transcript is spliced from 8 exons.